GAUGAACGCUGGCGGCGUGCCUAAUACAUGCCAGUCGAGCGAACAGACGAGGAGCUUGCUCCUCUGACGUUAGCGGCGGACGGGUGAGUAACACGUGGAUAACCUACCUAUAAGACUGGGAUAACUUCGGGAAACCGGAGCUAAUACCGGAUAAUAUAUUGAGCCGCAUGGUUCAAUAGUGAAAGACGGUUUUGCUGUCACUUAUAGAUGGAUCCGCGCCGCAUUAGCUAGUUGGUAAGGUAACGGCUUACCAAGGCAACGAUGCGUAGCCGACCUGAGAGGGUGAUCGGCCACACUGGAACUGAGACACGGUCCAGACUCCUACGGGAGGCAGCAGUAGGGAAUCUUCCGCAAUGGGCGAAAGCCUGACGGAGCAACGCCGCGUGAGUGAUGAAGGUCUUCGGAUCGUAAAACCCUGUUAUUAGGGAAGAACAAAUGUGUAAGUAACUAUGCACGUCUUGACGGUACCUAAUCAGAAAGCCACGGCUAACUACGUG
This 497-nucleotide ribosomal RNA is filed under the name uncultured bacterium. Its description in RNAcentral is "partial 16S ribosomal RNA". It matches the Rfam family "Bacterial small subunit ribosomal RNA", at positions 28 to 507 of the family's 1533-position model. The record is from RNAcentral.